GCUUACGGCCAUACCACCUUAGGCACGCCCGAUCUCGUCUGAUCUCGGAAGCUAAGCAGGGACGGGCCUGGUUAGUACUUGGAUGGGUGACCGCCUGGGAAUACCAGGUGCUGUAAGCA
Gadus morhua (Atlantic cod) is the source of this 119-nucleotide ribosomal RNA. Lineage: Eukaryota; Metazoa; Chordata; Actinopteri; Gadiformes; Gadidae. The record is from Ensembl.